Molecule: ribosomal RNA, 463 nt
Filed under: uncultured bacterium
Lineage: Bacteria
Description: partial 16S ribosomal RNA
Rfam family: Bacterial small subunit ribosomal RNA
Source: RNAcentral
GACGAACGCUGGCGGCGUGCUUAACACAUGCAAGUCGAACGGGAAGGCCCUGCUUUUGUGGGGUGCUCGAGUGGCGAACGGGUGAGUAACACGUGAGUAACCUGCCCUUGACUUUGGGAUAACUUCAGGAAACUGGGGCUAAUACCGGCUAGGAGCUCCUGCUGCAUGGUGGGGGUUGGAAAGUUUCGGCGGUUGGGGAUGGACUCGCGGCUUAUCAGCUUGUUGGUGGGGUAGUGGCUUACCAAGGCUUGGACGGGUAGCCGGCCUGAGAGGGGGACCGGCGACACUGGGACGGAGACACGGCCGAGACUCCUACGGGAGGCAGCGGUGGGGAAUAUUGGACAAGGGGGGAAAGCCUGAUCCAGCAAUGCCGCGUGAGUGAUGAAGGACGUAGGGUUGUAAAGCUCGUUUACCCGGGAUGAUAAUGACAGUACCGGGAGAAUAAGCUCCGGCUAACUCCGUG